RNAcentral lists this ribosomal RNA (376 nucleotides) under uncultured bacterium. RNAcentral's name for it is "bacterial SSU rRNA". It matches the Rfam family "Bacterial small subunit ribosomal RNA", at positions 523 to 898 of the family's 1533-position model. The record is from RNAcentral.
AUACGUAGAGGGCGAGCGUCGUCCGGAAUCACUGGGCGUAAAGGGUACGCAGGCGGAAAUACAAGUCAAAUGUGAAAGGUACCGGCUCAACCGGUGAAAUGCAUUUGAAACUGUAUAUCUUGAGUAUAGGAGAGGAGAGCGGAAUUCCUGGUGUAGCGGUGGAAUGCGUAGAUAUCAGGAAGAACACCAGUGGCGAAGGCGGCUCUCUGGCCUACAACUGACGCUCAUGUACGAAAGCUGGGGGAGAGAACGGGAUUAGAUACCCCGGUAGUCCCAGCCGUAAACGAUGGACACCAGGUGUUGGGGGUUCGAAUCCUUCAGUGCCGCAGUUAACGCAAUAAGUAUCCCACCUGGGGAGUACGGCCGCAAGGUUGAA